UACGGAGGGGGCUAGCGUUGUUCGGAAUUACUGGGCGUAAAGCGCACGUAGGCGGCUUUGUAAGUUAGAGGUGAAAGCCCGGGGCUCAACCCCGGAAUUGCCUUUAAGACUGCAUCGCUAGAAUUGUGGAGAGGUAAGUGGAAUUCCGAGUGUAGAGGUGAAAUUCGUAGAUAUUCGGAAGAAACACCAGUGGCGAAGGCGACUUACUGGACACAUAUUGACGCUGAGGUGCGAAAGCGUGGGGGAGCAAACAGGG
RNAcentral lists this ribosomal RNA (256 nucleotides) under uncultured bacterium. Its description in RNAcentral is "partial 16S ribosomal RNA". It matches the Rfam family "Bacterial small subunit ribosomal RNA", at positions 524 to 777 of the family's 1533-position model. The record is from RNAcentral.